Molecule: long non-coding RNA, 634 nt
Filed under: Nicotiana tabacum (common tobacco)
Lineage: Eukaryota; Viridiplantae; Streptophyta; Magnoliopsida; Solanales; Solanaceae
Description: long non-coding RNA (NTAB_LNC012718)
Source: RNAcentral
GGUCAGUUAGUAUCCUCGAACUUUGUCCCCAGCCAGUCAGCAUUAGGGUUUUAAACCAUAAACUGAACUUUUCCAUUUAGUCAGCAUUAGGGUUUUAAACCCUAAACUGAACUUUUCCAUUUAGUCAGCAUUAGGGUUUUAAACCCUAAACUGAACUUUUUCCAUUUAGUCAGCAUUAGGGUUUUAAACCCUAAACUGAAUUUUUCCUUUAGUCAGCAUUAGGGUUUUAAACCCUAAACUGAACUUUUCCAUUUAGUCAGUAUUAGGGUUUUAAACCCUAAACUGAACUUUUUCCAUUUAGUCAGCAUUAGGGUUUUAAACCCUAAACCGAACUUUUCCAUUUAGUCAGCAUUAGGAUUUUAAACCCUAAACUGAACUUUUUCCAUUUAGUCAGCAUUAGGGUUUUAAACCCUAAACUGAACUUUUCCAUUUAGUCAGCAUUAGGGUUUUAAACCCUAAACUGAACUUUUUCCUUUAGUCAGCAUUAGGGUUUUAAACCCUAAACUGAACUUUUCCAUUUAGUCAGCAUUAGGGUUUUAAACCCUAAACAGAACUUUUCCAUUUAGUCAGCAUUAGGGUUUUAAACCAUAAACUGAACUUUUCCAUUUAGUCAGCGUUAGGGUUUUAAACCCUA